GAAUUUUGGACAAUGGGCGAAAGCCUGAUCCAGCAAUGCCGCGUGCAGGAUGAAGGCCUUCGGGUUGUAAACUGCUUUUGUACGGAACGAAAAGCUUUGGGUUAAUACCCUGGAGUCCUGACGGUCCCGGAAGAAUAAGCACCGGCUAACUACGUUACAGCACCCGCGGCAAUACGUAGGGUGCAAGCGUUAAUCGGGAUUACUGUGCGUAACGCGUGCGCAGGCGGUGUUGUAAGACAGAGGUGAAAUCCCCGGGCUCAACCUGGGAACUGCCUUUGUGACUGCAAGGCUAGAGUACGGCAGAGGGGGGUGGAAUUCCGCGUGUAGCAGUGAAAUGCGUAGAUAUGCGGAGGAACACCGAUGGCGAAGGCAACCCCCUGGGCCUGUACUGACGCUCAUGCACGAAAGCGUGGGGAGCAAACAG
RNAcentral lists this ribosomal RNA (424 nucleotides) under uncultured bacterium. Its description in RNAcentral is "partial 16S ribosomal RNA". It matches the Rfam family "Bacterial small subunit ribosomal RNA", at positions 359 to 775 of the family's 1533-position model. The record is from RNAcentral.